RNAcentral lists this unclassified non-coding RNA (229 nucleotides) under uncultured fungus. RNAcentral's name for it is "sequence contains ITS1, 5.8S rRNA gene". The stretch from base 181 to 229 matches the Rfam family "5.8S ribosomal RNA", at positions 1 to 49 of the family's 154-position model. Lineage: Eukaryota; Fungi. The record is from RNAcentral.
UCUCCGUUGGUGAACCAGCGGAGGGAUCAUUACUGAGUGAGGGUCUCCGGGCCCGACCUCCAACCCUUUGUGAACCAAACUUGUUGCUUCGGGGGCGACCCUGCCGCUUCGGCGGUGCGGCGCCCCCGGAGGCCAUUAAACACUGCAUCAUUGCGUCGGAGUCUUAAUGAAUUUAAACAAAACUUUUAACAACGGAUCUCUUGGUUCUGGCAUCGAUGAAGAACGCAGC